RNAcentral lists this ribosomal RNA (2927 nucleotides) under Escherichia coli. RNAcentral describes it as "bacterial LSU rRNA". It matches the Rfam family "Bacterial large subunit ribosomal RNA". The record is from RNAcentral. Lineage: Bacteria; Pseudomonadati; Pseudomonadota; Gammaproteobacteria; Enterobacterales; Enterobacteriaceae.
GGGUUGUGAGGUUAAGCGACUAAGCGUACACGGUGGAUGCCCUGGCAGUCAGAGGCGAUGAAGGACGUGCUAAUCUGCGAUAAGCGUCGGUAAGGUGAUAUGAACCGUUAUAACCGGCGAUUUCCGAAUGGGGAAACCCAGUGUGUUUCGACACACUAUCAUUAACUGAAUCCAUAGGUUAAUGAGGCGAACCGGGGGAACUGAAACAUCUAAGUACCCCGAGGAAAAGAAAUCAACCGAGAUUCCCCCAGUAGCGGCGAGCGAACGGGGAGCAGCCCAGAGCCUGAAUCAGUGUGUGUGUUAGUGGAAGCGUCUGGAAAGGCGCGCGAUACAGGGUGACAGCCCCGUACACAAAAAUGCACAUGCUGUGAGCUCGAUGAGUAGGGCGGGACACGUGGUAUCCUGUCUGAAUAUGGGGGGACCAUCCUCCAAGGCUAAAUACUCCUGACUGACCGAUAGUGAACCAGUACCGUGAGGGAAAGGCGAAAAGAACCCCGGCGAGGGGAGUGAAAAAGAACCUGAAACCGUGUACGUACAAGCAGUGGGAGCACGCUUAGGCGUGUGACUGCGUACCUUUUGUAUAAUGGGUCAGCGACUUAUAUUCUGUAGCAAGGUUAACCGAAUAGGGGAGCCGAAGGGAAACCGAGUCUUAACUGGGCGUUAAGUUGCAGGGUAUAGACCCGAAACCCGGUGAUCUAGCCAUGGGCAGGUUGAAGGUUGGGUAACACUAACUGGAGGACCGAACCGACUAAUGUUGAAAAAUUAGCGGAUGACUUGUGGCUGGGGGUGAAAGGCCAAUCAAACCGGGAGAUAGCUGGUUCUCCCCGAAAGCUAUUUAGGUAGCGCCUCGUGAAUUCAUCUCCGGGGGUAGAGCACUGUUUCGGCAAGGGGGUCAUCCCGACUUACCAACCCGAUGCAAACUGCGAAUACCGGAGAAUGUUAUCACGGGAGACACACGGCGGGUGCUAACGUCCGUCGUGAAGAGGGAAACAACCCAGACCGCCAGCUAAGGUCCCAAAGUCAUGGUUAAGUGGGAAACGAUGUGGGAAGGCCCAGACAGCCAGGAUGUUGGCUUAGAAGCAGCCAUCAUUUAAAGAAAGCGUAAUAGCUCACUGGUCGAGUCGGCCUGCGCGGAAGAUGUAACGGGGCUAAACCAUGCACCGAAGCUGCGGCAGCGACGCUUAUGCGUUGUUGGGUAGGGGAGCGUUCUGUAAGCCUGUGAAGGUGUGCUGUGAGGCAUGCUGGAGGUAUCAGAAGUGCGAAUGCUGACAUAAGUAACGAUAAAGCGGGUGAAAAGCCCGCUCGCCGGAAGACCAAGGGUUCCUGUCCAACGUUAAUCGGGGCAGGGUGAGUCGACCCCUAAGGCGAGGCCGAAAGGCGUAGUCGAUGGGAAACAGGUUAAUAUUCCUGUACUUGGUGUUACUGCGAAGGGGGGACGGAGAAGGCUAUGUUGGCCGGGCGACGGUUGUCCCGGUUUAAGCGUGUAGGCUGGUUUUCCAGGCAAAUCCGGAAAAUCAAGGCUGAGGCGUGAUGACGAGGCACUACGGUGCUGAAGCAACAAAUGCCCUGCUUCCAGGAAAAGCCUCUAAGCAUCAGGUAACAUCAAAUCGUACCCCAAACCGACACAGGUGGUCAGGUAGAGAAUACCAAGGCGCUUGAGAGAACUCGGGUGAAGGAACUAGGCAAAAUGGUGCCGUAACUUCGGGAGAAGGCACGCUGAUAUGUAGGUGAAGUCCCUCGCGGAUGGAGCUGAAAUCAGUCGAAGAUACCAGCUGGCUGCAACUGUUUAUUAAAAACACAGCACUGUGCAAACACGAAAGUGGACGUAUACGGUGUGACGCCUGCCCGGUGCCGGAAGGUUAAUUGAUGGGGUUAGCCGCAAGGCGAAGCUCUUGAUCGAAGCCCCGGUAAACGGCGGCCGUAACUAUAACGGUCCUAAGGUAGCGAAAUUCCUUGUCGGGUAAGUUCCGACCUGCACGAAUGGCGUAAUGAUGGCCAGGCUGUCUCCACCCGAGACUCAGUGAAAUUGAACUCGCUGUGAAGAUGCAGUGUACCCGCGGCAAGACGGAAAGACCCCGUGAACCUUUACUAUAGCUUGACACUGAACAUUGAGCCUUGAUGUGUAGGAUAGGUGGGAGGCUUAGAAGUGUGGACGCCAGUCUGCAUGGAGCCGACCUUGAAAUACCACCCUUUAAUGUUUGAUGUUCUAACGUUGACCCGUAAUCCGGGUUGCGGACAGUGUCUGGUGGGUAGUUUGACUGGGGCGGUCUCCUCCUAAAGAGUAACGGAGGAGCACGAAGGUUGGCUAAUCCUGGUCGGACAUCAGGAGGUUAGUGCAAUGGCAUAAGCCAGCUUGACUGCGAGCGUGACGGCGCGAGCAGGUGCGAAAGCAGGUCAUAGUGAUCCGGUGGUUCUGAAUGGAAGGGCCAUCGCUCAACGGAUAAAAGGUACUCCGGGGAUAACAGGCUGAUACCGCCCAAGAGUUCAUAUCGACGGCGGUGUUUGGCACCUCGAUGUCGGCUCAUCACAUCCUGGGGCUGAAGUAGGUCCCAAGGGUAUGGCUGUUCGCCAUUUAAAGUGGUACGCGAGCUGGGUUUAGAACGUCGUGAGACAGUUCGGUCCCUAUCUGCCGUGGGCGCUGGAGAACUGAGGGGGGCUGCUCCUAGUACGAGAGGACCGGAGUGGACGCAUCACUGGUGUUCGGGUUGUCAUGCCAAUGGCACUGCCCGGUAGCUAAAUGCGGAAGAGAUAAGUGCUGAAAGCAUCUAAGCACGAAACUUGCCCCGAGAUGAGUUCUCCCUGACUCCCUGAGAGUCCUGAAGGAACGUUGAAGACGACGACGUUGAUAGGCCGGGUGUGUAAGCGCAGCGAUGCGUUGAGCUAACCGGUACUAAUGAACCGUGAGGCUUAACCUUACAACGCCGAAG